This 82-nucleotide transfer RNA is filed under the name Alteracholeplasma palmae J233. Its description in RNAcentral is "Acholeplasma palmae J233 tRNA". It matches the Rfam family "tRNA". Rfam says of the family: Transfer RNA (tRNA) molecules are approximately 80 nucleotides in length. Their secondary structure includes four short double-helical elements and three loops (D, anti-codon, and T loops). Lineage: Bacteria; Bacillati; Mycoplasmatota; Mollicutes; Acholeplasmatales; Acholeplasmataceae. The record is from Rfam by way of RNAcentral.
GCCUGAAUGGUGGAAUCGGUAGACACGCAGGACUUAAAAUCCUGUGGCUUACGCCGUGUCGGUUCAAGUCCGACUUCAGGUA